CAACCAGGUCGGACAGCCGCGGGGGGAGGCCGAAAGGCCCCCCGUGAGGAAAGUCCGGGCUCCGCAGGGCAAGGAUAACGGGUAACGCCCGCCGGGGGUGACCCUAGGACAAGUGCAACAGAAAGAUACCGCCUCGUUUGGAGUAUGAGCCCCUUGGCUUGUGCCAGCGAGGUAAGGGUGAAAAGGUGUGGUAAGAGCGCACCCGCCCCAUGGGAACAUCGGGGUGCUGUAAACUCUAUCCGGAGCAACACCGUGUGUGGGACUACAGGCUGGCCCGGCCGUCCCCAAGAGGUGGCUGGAACCCAGGAGCAAUCCUGGGUCUAGAUAGAUGGCUGUCGAUGACAGAACCCGGCUUAUAGACCUGAUUGCAUG
Firmicutes bacterium CAG:137 is the source of this 372-nucleotide non-coding RNA. It matches the Rfam family "Bacterial RNase P class A". Rfam says of the family: Ribonuclease P (RNase P) is a ubiquitous endoribonuclease, found in archaea, bacteria and eukarya as well as chloroplasts and mitochondria. Its best characterised activity is the generation of mature 5'-ends of tRNAs by cleaving the 5'-leader elements of precursor-tRNAs. Cellular RNase Ps are ribonucleoproteins. Lineage: Bacteria; Bacillati; Bacillota. The record is from Rfam.